This 668-nucleotide long non-coding RNA is filed under the name Zonotrichia albicollis (white-throated sparrow). RNAcentral describes it as "lncRNA (ENSZALG00000007280.1)". Lineage: Eukaryota; Metazoa; Chordata; Aves; Passeriformes; Passerellidae. The record is from RNAcentral.
ACGGAUGAAAAUCCACGAGGGGCUGGGUUUGGGUGGGUUCCCAUCCCUUUCCCACUGGCAGGUGCCAGCCUGCCCUGGGGGAACAGGAGCUCUUUCCUUGGUGGCAGCCUCAAUUCUCACCCCAAAUAAUCCCAAAUUUCUGGGUUUUCUGCCCAGGGGGCACAGGAGCUCUCUCUCCUUGGUGGCAGGGCAGCCUCAAUUCUCACCCCAAUCCCAAAUUUCUGGGUUGCCUGCCCAAGGGGAACAGGAGCUCUCUCUCCUUGGUAGCAGCCUCGAUUUUCACCCCAUAAUCCCAAAUUUCUGGGGUGCCUGCCCAGGGGGAACAGGAGUUCUUUCUCCUUGGUGGCAGGGCAGCCUCAAUUCUCACCCCAAAUAAUCCCAAAUCUCUGGGUUUUCUGCCCAGAGGGAACAGGAGCUCUCUCUCCUUGGUGGCAGCCCCAAUUCUCACCCCAAAUAAUCCCAAAUCCCUGGGGUGCCUGCCCAGGGGGCACAGGAACUCUCUCUCCUUGGUGGCAGCCUCGAUUCUCACCCCAUAAUCCCAAAUCUCUGCGUUGCAGAUUCCUCAGGAAACAAGGAUAAACUCCAAACGAGGAGAUGGCAGAGUUGUGAUCCCCACAGUGAAUCCUGCCGGCUCUGAGGACACCAAGCCCUGCUCUGUGCCACCUCCC